UACAGAGGGUGCGAGCAUUAAUCGGAAUUACUGGGCGUAAAGCGCACGUAGUCGGCUUUGCAAGUCGGUUGUGAAAUCCCCGGGCUCAACCUGGGAACUGCAUCCGAGACUGCAUUGCUAGAGUAUGGGAGAGGGAAGCGGAAUUUCUGGUGUAGCAGUGAAAUGCGUAGAUAUCAGAAGGAACAUCAGUGGCGAAGGCGGCUUCCUGGACCAAUACUGACGAUCAGGUGCGAAAGCGUGGGGAGCAAACAGG
RNAcentral lists this ribosomal RNA (253 nucleotides) under uncultured bacterium. RNAcentral's name for it is "partial 16S ribosomal RNA". It matches the Rfam family "Bacterial small subunit ribosomal RNA", at positions 524 to 776 of the family's 1533-position model. The record is from RNAcentral.